AUCUUUCUGUGAAUCCUAUUGAGUCCAAAACUGGGGAAGCUUACAUCCCCUGCCUGGGGAUCACUCCACCUGUAGUGACAAUCCUAGUGAGCUCACCAGCCAGGACCCUAGGUUAUCCUUUGAGUCACCUCAUGGUGACAGGGAGAAAUUCCAGUCACAGACCUGCCAACCUAACUGGAAUAAAACUGGAAUAUACCUAGAAACUGUGUGGAAGGAGAUGGACCCAAAUUAUCUCCAGAGAUAAAGGAAAUAAAGAAAGAGUUAUCUUAAUACUCAUGGGCACCUCAGGUGGAAACUUUCUCUCCUCUAAUGUCUCAAGCAUUGUCCUUAGAAGACAGAGCUUACAAUGAAAGCUCUACAGGAAAACAGGAUUUGGAUUUCAAAGUUCAGCUUUUGUUCACCUCAAGUUGCUGGAAAGAUAGCAUUGACAUUGAACACCAUCUGUGAAUGGCCCGUUUAAGAAGUUAUAGAGUCCACUUUUACCCUAAUAUAUCCCCUGUAUGUCUUGCAUUGUGCCAAAGUUCCCAUCAUUAUUCUAUUUGUAGUUUAAAGCAAUGAAGGUUGCUGUUGAACUCAUUCAGUAUAAUAUCAUUGUGCUAACACCUGUAAGUGAUUGAAUUGGUUCUGUUCUGGAUAAAAAUUUUACAUCACUGUAUUAAUGUCAGCUACCUGACAGAAUU
Molecule: long non-coding RNA, 680 nt
Organism: Choloepus didactylus (southern two-toed sloth)
Lineage: Eukaryota; Metazoa; Chordata; Mammalia; Pilosa; Megalonychidae
Exons: 4
Source: RefSeq, a predicted model, not a curated record